AGGGCGUACAGUGUGAACCAACUCACCCAUUCCAAGUGGGAGAUAUCGUGCUGAUAAAGAAAUUAAAGAAAGGAAAAUUUGCAGGAGACUUCACCUAUGGACCACCGACUGCAGUGGUAGCCGCGACCCGCACAGCAGUACUCACGGAAGAAGCACCUACUUGGAUCCAC
Bufo bufo (common toad) is the source of this 170-nucleotide long non-coding RNA. RefSeq lists it as uncharacterized. The record is from RefSeq and is a predicted model, not a curated record. The transcript is spliced from 3 exons. NCBI's taxonomy places the organism in Eukaryota, Metazoa, Chordata, Amphibia, Anura, Bufonidae.